This is a long non-coding RNA of Antechinus flavipes (yellow-footed antechinus), 427 nucleotides long. RefSeq lists it as uncharacterized. The transcript is spliced from 3 exons. NCBI's taxonomy places the organism in Eukaryota, Metazoa, Chordata, Mammalia, Dasyuromorphia, Dasyuridae. The record is from RefSeq and is a predicted model, not a curated record.
AUGCAUUCUAGUUGCCUCUCCUCCCUUCUGCUGCUCCUGCUCAUUGGAACCUUGGUGUCUGAGGGCUCAAAAGAGCAUCCUCAUCCACAUCAGCUACGCAUUAAAAGUCAUGUCCCGAAGAGCCACCACUCUUCCAAGAUGCAUUCUUCACAUGAGAACCAUGAGAACAAGGAUCAUCUAAGCAAGAGCCAUUCAAACCACUACGAUUCAGUCCAGGACUAUCCUUCAAUCAAGAGCUAUUUGUCCAAAGGCCUAAUUUCUUGAAAAUCAGAUUAAAUUUCCAUGUGAAAGCCAUGGAAUGCUAGAGCCGAAGCAUCAUCCUUCCCUCAAGUUCCUGCUCUGGGAUUUCUCCUUUGGACCUCUGGGGUGGGAGAGAUUAUCUCCCUUCCUAGGAUCUUUUCUUCCAACAAUCAUUAAAGACAUAGCA